Long non-coding RNA from Hemicordylus capensis (graceful crag lizard), 806 nucleotides. RefSeq lists it as uncharacterized. The record is from RefSeq and is a predicted model, not a curated record. Lineage: Eukaryota; Metazoa; Chordata; Lepidosauria; Squamata; Cordylidae. The transcript has 3 exons.
CCAUUUGAGCAUGUGUUGCAGCCUCCAAAAUGGCCACCACGCCGAUCUUUGCAGGCCCGAAUAGGCCCAAAAAUCAGCCCGGGACGGGCUGUGGCGAUGAAUUAAGAGGCCAGCAGUGGGAGGGAGAAUGAUGCUGCAAAUCUUCCCAAGGAGAAAUCAGAUCAACACACAGCCUUUCAGCCUAUAAAUGUUACUGUCCAAAUUACAUUUGAAAAGAACAGGGGAGAUUGUCAUAAGCUCAGUGAGACACGUGACAAGAGCUGAAUACACCAAAGGAUAAGCAGAUCUUGCAGAUCUUCUGCCUCAAUUUGCUACUGUUUGGUCAGCAUAUGAAGAGGAAGUCCUAAUCAGCACCUUGACAUGGAGUACACAUCUCCUAUUCAGGUUUGGCAUCAAAGGUCAGCUGCCAAACAUACAACACCCCAAAUGUGGAAGCCGUCAAAACUCUCUCAAUAAUAUCUUAAUAAAAUUGUCCCUUAGGAGAAAUCCUGAGAUUCUCUUCAAAUGCAUACGAUUGUGCUGCAUUUCCUUUGUUGUUGUUAUUUCUGCCAUGGACUAACUGGAACCGACUGCUUGGAACCAUGCUAUAGAACAUAAAAGUUACAAACAUACGGUAUAUCCAUGCACCCAAGAGUACAUCCUAAUGAACUGAUACAUGCUUCUGAAUAUCCACGACUGGACUGUCAUUUUUUAAUGUUUAACUUCUCUUUUGUCAUCUCUUUUUCCUCAUUAUUUCCUUUCCAAAAUGUAUAAAAUUUUAUUGUAGAACUCUGACUUUAUUUAGAGCUAAACUGAACACAGUUUUU